GGGGGAUAUUGCGCAAUGGGGGAAACCCUGACGCAGCAACGCCGCGUGAAGGAAGAAGGUCUUCGGAUUGUAAACUUCUUUUGUCAGGGACGAAGAAAGUGACGGUACCUGACGAAUAAGCUCCGGCUAACUACGUGCCAGCAGCCGCGGUAAUACGUAGGGAGCGAGCGUUGUCCGGAUUUACUGGGUGUAAAGGGUGCGUAGGCGGCCGAGCAAGUCAGUUGUGAAAACUAUGGGCUUAACCCAUAACGUGCAAUUGAAACUGUCCGGCUUGAGUGAAGUAGAGGUAGGCGGAAUUCCCGGUGUAGCGGUGAAAUGCGUAGAGAUCGGGAGGAACACCAGUGGCGAAGGCGGUCUACUGGGCACCAACUGACGCUGAGGCUCGAAAGCAUGGGUAGCAAACAGGAUUAGAUACCCUGGUAGUCCAUGCCGUAAACGAUGAUUACUAGGUGUUGGGGGAUUGACCCCCUCAGUGCCGCAGUUAACACAAUAAGUAAUCCACCUGGGGAGUACGACCGCAAGGUUGAAACUCAAAGGAAUUGACGGGGGCCCGCACAAGCAGUGGAGUAUGUGGUUUAAUUCGAAGCAACGCGAAGAACCUUACCAGGUCUUGACAUCCGAUGCAUAGCACAGAGAUGUGUGAAAUCCUUCGGGACAUCGAGACAGGUGGUGCAUGGUUGUCGUCAGCUCGUGUCGUGAGAUGUUGGGUUAAGUCCCGCAACGAGCGCAACCCUUAUUGCCAGUUACUACGUUAAGAGGACUCUGGCGAGACUGCCGUUGACAAAACGGAGGAAGGUGGGGAUGACGUCAAAUCAUCAUGCCCUUUAUGACCUGGGCUACACACGUACUACAAUGGCGUUAAACAAAGAGAAGCAAGACCGCGAGGUGGAGCAAAACUCAAAAACAACGUCUCAGUUCAGAUUGCAGGCUGCAACUCGCCUGCAUGAAGUCGGAAUUGCUAGUAAUCGCGGAUCAGCAUGCCGCGGUGAAUACGUUCCCG
This 1000-nucleotide ribosomal RNA is filed under the name uncultured bacterium. RNAcentral describes it as "bacterial SSU rRNA". It matches the Rfam family "Bacterial small subunit ribosomal RNA", at positions 356 to 1376 of the family's 1533-position model. The record is from RNAcentral.